RNAcentral lists this long non-coding RNA (221 nucleotides) under Polistes fuscatus (common paper wasp). RNAcentral describes it as "uncharacterized LOC122517393". Lineage: Eukaryota; Metazoa; Arthropoda; Insecta; Hymenoptera; Vespidae. The record is from RNAcentral.
GGAUCUUUUAAUAAGCAAACAUAAUUAUCUUGUGAUCAAUCAUUAAACUGGAAGAAAGGAAAGAUAAUUUUCAAUUCGAUAAGCAAAAUCCAACUACACUGUAAUCGUGAGAGAUCUAGGAAGACAGUGUGGAAAGGGUUUUGUUCUCACCCUGGAAGGAAACUAUGUAUUAAUAUACUAUCAAAAGAAUUGAAGAAUGAAUGCAUCCUGAUUACUAAAAA